ACAUCCAAGGAAGGCAGCAGGCGCGUAAAUUACCCAAUCCUGACACAGGGAGGUAGUGACAAUAAAUAACAAUGCCGGGCCAUCAUUGGUCUGGCAAUUGGAAUGAGAACAAUUUAAAUCCCUUAUCGAGGAUCAAUUGGAGGGCAAGUCUGGUGCCAGCAGCCGCGGUAAUUCCAGCUCCAAUAGCGUAUAUUAAAGUUGUUGCAGUUAAAAAGCUCGUAGUUGGAUUUGUGGCGUACGGUGUGUCCCGGGCACUUGUUGUCUGAGUGACCUGCUGUUGCCAUCCUUGGGUGGAACCUGUGUGGCAUUAGGUUGUCGUGCAGGGGAUGCCCA
Molecule: ribosomal RNA, 333 nt
Filed under: uncultured diatom
Lineage: Eukaryota; Bacillariophyta
Description: SSU rRNA
Rfam family: Eukaryotic small subunit ribosomal RNA
Source: RNAcentral